RNAcentral lists this unclassified non-coding RNA (423 nucleotides) under Nervilia plicata. RNAcentral's name for it is "partial contains external transcribed spacer and 18S ribosomal RNA". The stretch from base 361 to 423 matches the Rfam family "Eukaryotic small subunit ribosomal RNA", at positions 1 to 63 of the family's 1831-position model. Lineage: Eukaryota; Viridiplantae; Streptophyta; Magnoliopsida; Asparagales; Orchidaceae. The record is from RNAcentral.
GCUUGUGCGAUGAAUCCCAAUUGCGGCAUUCAUAUCUUUUUGGCGAUGCGUUGUUGAUGCUCUCCCUUGCCUAUCAGGCAGGAUGUGCGUGCGGUGCAAUAGAUCUCCCCCCAGCCAGGCCUUUUAUGAUUUGGGAGCUGUCCAAUGGUAGGCUCCCUAAUCUUAGGCAAAUGGUUGCGGGGAUCGUGGGGCUAUAAACGUGGCUUGUUCAGCAUAUAGGAUGGUCCCCGGGCCAUUCCUCUAUAGGGGGUUUAAUAAGGAGAUAGGCGCAUCCUUAUCCAAUGCGCGACUUCGGUUCUCUCAUCCCCAGCCGCACGUUGCUGCAGUUGGCGAAGGCUCCGAGUUGCUAUGAGGCCGAGAUACCUGGUUGAUCCUGCCAGUAGUCAUAUGCUUGUCUCAAAGAUUAAGCCAUGCAUGUGUAAG